CCUACGGGUUGCAGCAGUGGGGAAUAUUGGACAAUGAGCGAAAGCCUGAUCCAGCAACGCCGCGUGUGUGAAGAAGGUCUUCGGAUUGUAAAGCACUUUCGACGGGGACGAUGAUGACGGUACCCNUAGAAGAAGCCCCGGCUAACUUCGUGCCAGCAGCCGCGGUAAUGCGGAGGGGGCUAGCGUUGCUCGGAAUGACUGGGCGUAAAGGGCGCGUAGGCGGUUUAUGCAGUCAGAUGUGAAAUCCCCGGGCUUAACCUGGGAACUGCAUUUGAGACGCAUAGACUAGAGGUCGAGAGAGGGUUGUGGAAUUCCCAGUGUAGAGGUGAAAUUCGUAGAUAUUGGGAAGAACACCGGUGGCGAAGGCGGCAACCUGGCUCGAAACUGACGCUGAGGCGCGAAAGCGUGGGGAGCAAACAGGAUUAGAUACCCUAGUAGUC
This 440-nucleotide ribosomal RNA is filed under the name uncultured bacterium. Its description in RNAcentral is "bacterial SSU rRNA". It matches the Rfam family "Bacterial small subunit ribosomal RNA", at positions 338 to 795 of the family's 1533-position model. The record is from RNAcentral.